This is a long non-coding RNA of Diospyros lotus (date-plum), 4475 nucleotides long. RefSeq lists it as uncharacterized. The transcript is spliced from 4 exons. The record is from RefSeq and is a predicted model, not a curated record. NCBI's taxonomy places the organism in Eukaryota, Viridiplantae, Streptophyta, Magnoliopsida, Ericales, Ebenaceae.
ACUUGACCCUGGAUAUUUUUGGCUAAAAUUAUACGACAAGAAGAUAAAGAUGCCAGCCAGGAUUCGGGUCGGAUAGGGUUUAUUUAGUUAGUGCGCAAUGCAUUGGGGACCCUCCCCACUGGUUCAGUUAUUAUUAGGGUUUUGAAAGGCCAAAUUCGCCGCCGCCGUCGUUCCCCUCCAUCGUCAAAAAGUUUCGCCGUUUCUGAUGGUCUAUUGUUUUUCCGGCUUGGCCACUUAUUAUCGGCUUUCUUGUUUGGUUUCAGGCAACGGUUUUUGUUCUCUGUUUUAGUUCAAUUUCCCAAUCAUAGCACAUCUGUCCACUCACUGCGCCGUAGUUUCCUGGAGCCAUCAGAAGGCAUCGCCCAGAGGUGGUUCGUCAGGAUGUUGAAUUCAACAAGUGCAGCGAGAAAGGAGGUCUAGUUUGACGUCCUUGUAUAUUUGAGCAUUUUUUUGGCGUCUUUAUAUCAUCUGAUAUGAUGUCGAUUUGAGGCUUAGAAAGCCUCGGCUGUGGAAAACGCAAAGAAUAAGAAAAUAUAGUUGGAAGAGAGUCUAAUUGAAUUUGCCUAAUUAGGCCUAAAACGUGCUCAUGAUAGUGCAUAUUUGAAACUUGAUAAAAUGAAUUUGUUAUCUUCAAAAACGCAGUUGCUACUAAACAGAAAUUUCUUUUUAAAAUUGUUAGGAAAACAUUGGUUUCUGGAGGUCCGAAUUCCAUGUAGCUGACCUCACCUAGUGGGAUUCCGGCUCGUGAUUGUUGUUGUUGGGAAAAAAUGUUUUCUUCCCCACGAUCUAGAAUUGGAUUAUUAUUCUCAAUAGCAUGUUUUGUUUGAUACUUCAUCUUUGAGCACUCACCAAAGCUCAUUCAGUUUUGCUUCUUUUUCAUUCAAGUGCAUUGUAUCUUUACGCUUGAUAUUAACUUGCACAGACCUUUACUAAGAUUUUCACCCAACUUUAUAUUUCCACUCACCUGCCACGUUUCUCCAACUAAUUCCCAUCUCACAGAUGCCACCACCAGGUGCAUUUUUGUUUCAUUAUCAGUAUCUUCCUUUGUUUGGCUUCAUGGCAUGUGUUGGCAGUCUGACGCACACACAUGCAGACAACAUGCGCACAUAGUUUUACAUGCGUUUAUUCCCUUGCCAUAAUAGUGCAAAAGACUAGCAUAUGAUGCCUUACACUUGAUCUCUGAACUUCAGGUAAGUUUACCUGUUGACAAAUCUUCACUACUGAUGCUCGUCUUUGCAUGUCCUUUUAAGAAAUUUUGUUGUGGUUUUCAUGUGCUUCUAUGGCAUUGGUCUUCUCGUCAGCUGUUUAUUUCCUGUUAUUUGCAAAAGAUAAGUUGGAGGAGAGCUCAAAGUGCCCUUGUUACUCCUUUGAGGCACACCACUUGAUCCAGUUUCAAGUUGUCAAAAACAUCACAAUUUCAGGACUAGGGAUAGCAAAGCUCCAUGGGAAUAUGCAUAAUGGUCAUUUCUGUGAGGAUGUUCCAAGUGCAAAGAGUGGAAGAUGAGAGGUUUCACGUUGUAUUAACUGAGUAGAGUUGCAAGUUUGAUGAUUACUAGAGUUUAGAUCAACUUCGUAAAUCUUUUGUUGUUGAUUGUAAUUUUUUAUGUUACUUGUAUGCAUAGGGGUCAAGAUUCACUGUCCUUUAUGGCAGUCAACAUAAUAAAAAAAAGUUGUGUGUUAUCCAUAUUAACUUGUUACCCCACUUUAACGUAAAUCAACUUUUUUUUGUUUGGUUCAUAGAAAGAGAUCUGGUAUGCGGCCUAUGGCCCCUUGUGAGUUGACUCGUCAAAGUGAGUUCAUUAUUAUUAUUAUUUUUUGUCAAAGGCAUAAAUAUUUCGAAUCUUUAAUAUGAAUCAGUUGGUUUGGAGUGGUCCUUUUCCAUAGUUUGAGUGUUUUGGUUUGAAGUUGUCCUUUUGCUAUGUUACUUCUCAGAAUAAGGUAGCCACUUAGGACUUGAUCUUCAACUGUAAAUGCUAACUAAAUUGGGAAGUUUGCUUAAUCAAAUUGAUGAUCAAUGUUCAUAUAAUCAUAUAUACCUCGUCUAGAAAUCAAUUUUUUGGAUGUAUUUGAUUCACCGGUCAGAAUGCCUGACAGUUACAAUUGUCCUACUUGAAACAAUACAUUGAACUCUCCAAUCUUGAUUAAUUUGGAAAGCAAAGUUUGAAUUUUGAAAGCAGAUCAAUUGUUCUAGCAUUCUAGUAUGCUUUUUUUUUAAAAAGGAAAAAUUUCUACAGGAUGUGGACACUUUUUUCCCCCUUUCCUUUCUUCUUUUUCAUGGGAGUACUUGUUUAUAAUUUGCUGGUUCUUGUAUAUGGAUUCCAGAUUCUGUGUAUUGCUUGGUGUGUAUCUAUAUUUAUUCUCAUGCUCAUUGGAGUUUGAGUAUGUUAACCAUAGAAUUAAGGCAAGACGGUUAAAUUGAAAAAGUGCAUCUGACAUUUUAUAUGAUAAUAAGAUUCCAUUGAAUCUGAAAGAAAAGUUUUAUAAGACCAAUUUUGUUAUAUGGCACAAAAUUUUGGGUAGUAAAGCACCAACAUGUGCAAAAUAUGAUCAUAAUGGAGAUGAGGAUUUAAGAUGGAUGUGUGUGUGGUCAUACAAGAAAGAAGGUAAAAUUAGAAAUGAGAUUAUUCUUAAUAAGGUUGAAGCGGCUCCUGCUGAGACAAGAUGUAUGAGACAUGAUUAAGAUAAUUUGAUCAUGUUAGAAGAAGACCCAUAGGGGUUUCUAUGGGGAGGGUUGUUGGAAUGGAACAAGUAUUUAACAAAAAAGGUAAGAGGAAAAUCAAGAAAAACUUAGUGGAGAUACUUAGGUAUGAUAUUAUUUACAAGAGUUUUAUUGAAGAUACAACCAUAGAUAAAAAUGAAUGGAGAGCUGGAAUUCAUGUAGCUGACCCCCACAUAGUAAGAUAAAGGCUUUGUAUGGUGUUAUUGUAACUCAUUGGAGUCGAGCUUUUACAAACAUUUACUUCAGGAUUCAAGAAUUACAACUGCAGCAUGUUAUUCUUUAGGCCAGAAUGGUGAUGGAGAAGUAUAGAGUUAUCCUUGUACCAGCUUUGAAUAUUGGUGCAUUCAAACAGACAUAGGUAGAAGGAUGAACGCAUAGACACCGAAGCACCGCAAGUUUGUAAUUGAUGGCAUUCAGUCUUCAUCUACUUGGACUUCUCAAUUCUGUAUUUGACUGUAUGCUCCUUCCACUUUUUGUUCUCCAGGUAAGUCUCAUAGAAGUUCACUUCUCCACCUCUAACUGUCAAUGCAGCUGUGCUUCUAGUCCCAUAAAGUCCCUAUACAUCAUAGAUAGACAAUUAAAUUUAAAGGAAUUUAAAUUGUUUUUUUUUCCUCUUGUUUUUUAACUUGGAAAAUGGAGGAUUGUAGUUGUGAUACCCACCAGUGGUGUGUCAACUUUGACGAAAAUGGGGCUUAAAUUCCACUCCCAAUCAAGGGAACAAAUGCGAGUUGGGUGAAAUUCACUCCCAAGCGUUGUGCCUGUAAGAGAAGAGGAAUUUGAACAGGUUGGUUUAGGAUUUUUGUAGCCGAAGGCUGUCCUGCAGGCUGCAGUCCUCAGUGAAGAUAACUAUCUUUCCUCACCUUAUGCCAAGGGGAGUUGAGUUUUGCAUUGGAAAGCACAUGGAUGCCGGGAGGGACGUCCUGAAUCUCAGAAGGCUCCCCUUUUGGGGUGUUGGACACAUAAACCAUGGUGUUGGAGGAAAGAUCGGCAGUUAUGAGGUUAAAUCCAUUGUAGUGGUGAGCUUCUUUGGCGACUUCCUCAGCAAAUUCAUGGGGACUCUUUGUGCUCUGCAACCAUUCAAAAUGGUAUCAAACCAUUUAGCAAUAUCUGCCCGUGUAAUGGGCAACAAAUGAAGAGUGAAAGACUAGUGUUGGUUGGUACCUGCAAGAAACGACGAGGGAGGUCACCUCUGCUUUUGGCCUGUGGAAUAGUAUGGAGCUCCAAGACAUUUGUGAGGAAAGCCACUCUGCCAGCUCUCGAACAAGCCAGCCAUGUCCCGCCAGCAACCUCGUCUUGCCCCCCCAGUAUCUCGCCUCCUUCCCACCAUCCCACAGCUUUUGUAGGCCUGGAAAACACAAGCACCCAUUGUUAGUGUCUGCGAGUAUGUGAAAGAGAAAGCAAAAGGCGCUUCACCUGUUGUGGUAUUCAUCUCUGUUGAGCAAGAGGAGGAGUGGGUACUCAGGGUGAGCUUGCCAAACAAACACAACAAUGCACAUUCUAUUCUGAUUAAUCUCUGGUGUCAGGCAGUGAACUUUCUGAGCUGCUGCUCAAGAAGCACCGAAUUUGGAUAAUGAUACGUUAGAAGAUGUCUAUGAAUCUCAUUUUUCAGAGUAUUUAUAGACACAUCUUAGGAGAAUUAAUGAAUACUGUGAGCUUGGGUCAAAACAUGUGGGUGCUGGCUAAAUUUUGUUGUAUGUAAAUUUGGGAUUGUAUCAAGCAUUAAAAUAUAUAUAUAUAUAUAUAGGUUGGCACUCUA